UGUGUGUGUGUGAAACUGAGGGCGCGGUGUGAGCGCAGUUUUAGCGCCUUCCCCAACGGGACCCUGCGCUGUAUCUGUCUCUAUUACCACCGGGGUAGACACCGAGACAACAAGACCCAGGGGACCUCUGCCUGCAUCUCACCUGCUGGCUUUUAUGACUGUAUUUUCGCAACCCAUACUCCCGAAGUCCCCAUUAACUGCACAUUAUACUAGUGUGUCCCUGCCCCAGCACACCUGACUCAGCUCAUCAGCUCAUUAACAAGCGCUUGACGAAGUUCAAACGGAUGCUGGAGCAUGGAAAACGCCACAAAACAAAUGUGCAAUGCAGGGCUGCUCCAAGAGUAAGGCUAGGAAGCGGGGAAAUAAGGACCCUUCUGUUAUGGUCUGCUUCGCUUACUCUUUCACUGCACCUGACACAUACUGUACCCAGGAGGAAAUAGCAUGGAGAAAGACGCACCAAGCAGACAUCACAGCUGGAUUUGAGCAGCCACAGAAAUAUAGAAUGUGACAGAAAUGUGGAAGCUGACAACCAACUGGAACAGGAUGCAGUUUUAGACAGAGACCAACAAAAUGGAACGUGACAGAGUGCUGGAACACGGAAAAUAUCAGAAUUCCACAUAAUCACAUGACCGUACCAAGAGAUAUAGCAUAUGAUUGUAAUCAUGAAAGAUCCACUGCCACUCAAAAAUCUUGAACACCUGGAUGUUUAUUAUAGUAUCUGGAGGUUUAUUACAGCUCUAUUAGUGCCACAGACUAAACUAAAUCUAAACUUACAAUUAAAAUGGACAAAAAUAUAUAUUUUUUUAAUUUAAGGACUUAUUUAAUGGCCAGACUGAGAUCCUAAAGGGACUCUAAAUGAGUUCUUUAUUAAAGGCAGAUAUAUUUGGAAGGUAAACCAGUAAACCCCAUUAAACCAGUGAUUACAGGUCGACCUUGAUUACAUUGUGUCAGUUGCAAACAGACUGUAUGUUUUUUAAAAGCGCAUUUUUUCCCAAUUUCGUAAUUUGCCAGUUCUCACCCUCUAGCUAGUUCCCCCAAAACAUGACAGGUAGCAACCAGGGAGGAUGAAAGCUAGCACCUACUUUCUCUGAGACAUGUGAAGCCAGCUACAGCACCUUUUGAAACUGCUCACAGAACACACUUGGAGUAAAGUGCUAACUACCCUCUUCCAAUUGCCUGAGCUCACAGACACCCAUUAUUAGCUAGAGUGUAGAUUGACAGGGCAAAGUGUAAUGCCAUCCCUCCCACCCAGACAGAAUGGCCAGUUUUACUUUCUUGGACUCCUUAUUCAAAUUGGCAAUCUCCCAAUGAUAGGGCAGCAGAGACUAUUUAGCAGUGAGAGGGGUAUUUCUUUUGGGGUUUGAGGAAUUUAGCAAUAAAGGGGGUAUUUAUUUGUAAGUUUGAGGUAUUUAGCAGUGAGCAGGGUAUAUUUGUGUUUGGGGAAUAAAGCAGUGUGGGAGGUGUUAACUUUUUUUGGGAUAAGUGCAUUUAUCAGUAAGAAGGUAUAUAUUUUGGGGUUGGGACAU
Ictalurus punctatus (channel catfish) is the source of this 1526-nucleotide long non-coding RNA. RefSeq lists it as uncharacterized. The record is from RefSeq and is a predicted model, not a curated record. Lineage: Eukaryota; Metazoa; Chordata; Actinopteri; Siluriformes; Ictaluridae. The transcript has 3 exons.